Molecule: transfer RNA, 60 nt
Filed under: Leptocentrus albolineatus
Lineage: Eukaryota; Metazoa; Arthropoda; Insecta; Hemiptera; Membracidae
Also listed under: 1 other name
Description: tRNA-Gly
Source: RNAcentral
AUUCAUUUAGUAUAUAAAGUAUAUUUAACUUCCAAUUAAAAGGAUUAUAAAAAAUGAAUA